RNAcentral lists this long non-coding RNA (311 nucleotides) under Coffea arabica (coffee). RNAcentral describes it as "long non-coding RNA (CARA_LNC005925)". Lineage: Eukaryota; Viridiplantae; Streptophyta; Magnoliopsida; Gentianales; Rubiaceae. The record is from RNAcentral.
GCCCCUCUAUUUUUGGUCCUUUUACUUUUGUAGUUUGAUUCCCCCUCUGACUUCGCCGAAGCCUCCCCUUUUCCUAUUUGUUCUCUUUUCUUUUCUCCACCCGUGGCCCUUCGCUUUCUCUUCUAUUUUCCUUCCUCCGCCGUCCACUUUUCACUCUCAGCUGCCUCCCUUUCUUUUGUUUUCUGUCCGCCGUUAGUCCUUAUCUGUUUUUCUUCUAGACCUCCGUCCGCCGCCCCUAUUUCUUCCUGAAGCUUUUUUUCGAUUUCCAGUUUUUUUCUCUGUUUUUGGCUUCCCCCCAAAGCUCCCAGACC